Molecule: ribosomal RNA, 467 nt
Filed under: uncultured bacterium
Lineage: Bacteria
Description: partial 16S ribosomal RNA
Rfam family: Bacterial small subunit ribosomal RNA
Source: RNAcentral
GACGAACGCUGGCGGCGUGCUUAACACAUGCAAGUCGAACGGUGAAGCAGAGCUUGCUCUGUGGAUCAGUGGCGAACGGGUGAGUAACACGUGAGUAACCUGCCCUUGACUCUGGGAUAAGCGUUGGAAACGACGUCUAAUACCGGAUACGAGCUGAGACCGCAUUGUCAUCAGUUGGAAAGAUUUUUUGGUCAAGGAUGGACUCGCGGCCUAUCAGCUUGUUGGUGAGGUAAUGGCUCACCAAGGCGACGACGGGUAGCCGGCCUGAGAGGGUGACCGGCCACACUGGGACUGAGACACGGCCCAGACUCCUACGGGAGGCAGCAGUGGGGAAUAUUGCACAAUGGGCGCAAGCCUGAUGCAGCAACGCCGCGUGAGGGAUGACGGCCUUCGGGUUGUAAACCUCUUUUAGUAGGGAAGAAGCGAAAGUGACGGUACCUGCAGAAAAAGCACCGGCUAACUACGUG